AACUUUCAACAACGGAUCUCUUGGUUCCGGCAUCGAUGAAGAACGCAGCGAAAUGCGAUAACUAAUGUGAAUUGCAGAAUUCAGUGAAUCAUCGAGUCUUUGAACGCACAUUGCGCCCCCUGGUAUUCCGGGGGGCAUGCCUGUCCGAGCGU
RNAcentral lists this ribosomal RNA (152 nucleotides) under Penicillium thomii. RNAcentral describes it as "5.8S ribosomal RNA". It matches the Rfam family "5.8S ribosomal RNA". From Rfam's summary of the family: 5.8S ribosomal RNA (5.8S rRNA) is a component of the large subunit of the eukaryotic ribosome. It is transcribed by RNA polymerase I as part of the 45S precursor that also contains 18S and 28S rRNA. Lineage: Eukaryota; Fungi; Ascomycota; Eurotiomycetes; Eurotiales; Aspergillaceae. The record is from RNAcentral.